This is a non-coding RNA of Oryza glaberrima (African rice), 203 nucleotides long. Lineage: Eukaryota; Viridiplantae; Streptophyta; Magnoliopsida; Poales; Poaceae. The record is from Rfam.
UUUAAGUGCUACCAUGAGUUUUCAUGUGUAACUUUGAUUGUCCGUGUUAUUUAUUUUUUUUAUAAUUAGUAUUUUUAUUGUUAUAAGAUGAUAAAAUAUGAAUAGUACUUUAUACGUGACUUAUGUUCUCAAUUGUUUUUAAAAAAAUUUUAAAUAAGACAGACGGUCAAAGUUGGGCACAUAAAAUCAUGGCUGCACUUAUA